UUUCCCUUUCAUUUCAAACAAAUCAAUAAACUUACGGGAUCUAUAUACAAUUUCCAAAACUUCAGUACCCAAUCUGUAUCAUUUUCUUUUUCUAUCAUUUCCAAAUUACACCUUAUUAUACCUUUGCUCCUCUCUCUAUCACCAUAACACUCCCCAUUAGCUCAAUCGGAUCUUCCUUUAGACCCGAAUUGCUUUCCAACAAAACCUAACCCUAAAUUCCUUCUCAAUGGCCAGCGAUUCCAAUGAACCUUCUCGUCGGAAGCACCACCGUUCUCCUCCUUCCGACGAAGAAAACGGCACCGUUGAACCGUCGAAACGCCGUAAGCACCGCCACCACCACCGUCACCGUCACCACCGUCACCGUCACCAUAGCAAAAAAUCCGAUUCGAAAUCCGAGAAAAUGGAAACGGGUCAAGGUGAAGGUGAAAUUGAAGCGGUGAAGAUUGGUACUGUUACAGGUGUUUCUACUUUGGGGAUUGAUUAUGAUAUGGAGGAAGGAGAAAUUAUCGAAGAUGAUGAUGAGAAUAUCGUGACGGAUAAAUUGGGGAAUGAAGAUGAAUUGGACAUGGAAUUGCAUGAAGCUCAAGGACAAGGGCCUGCAGACAAUGUGGAAAAAGUUGACGGAGAUUCCAUUGCUUCAGGACGGCAUGAUGAACAAAGGAAAAGUAGAAAGACUGAUAGUUCUGGAGAGAGGAAAUCCAGUGACAAGCAUUUAGCUAAUGGUAGUUACAUAGAUGAAUUUCAUAAGUUGCACUCUGAAACACGGAAAGAAGAUAGUUUUGCUGGUGAAGAAAGUAGAAAGCAAAAAAGCUACAACGAGGAUGAAAGUAACUUACAGGAUCAAAUAAUAAAAUCCUCUACUCCUGAAAAUGCUGGGAAGAAAUCUGUCAGGGUAUCAUCUUCUUAUGAUGAUCACCAUGAAGAGAGACAUGUUACAAGGUCAUCAAAGUCUCCUGAUCGCUCCAGAGGAAGAUCACGAUCCAAAAGCGUUUUGGAGGAGUCUUUCCUUGUACCUAAGUCUCAUGAGAAAGACGAUGCAUAUGAGAAGGAAAGCAGAUAUAGAAGUAACAUUGAUGAUGAAAAACUUGGAUACAACAGGGACUAUCAACAUGGAAGCCGAGAGUCGUCAAGGGACAGGGAAAAAGAGCAUAAUUCUAGUUACAGCAGACGCUCAAGAGACGGGUAUCAUAACAGGGAGAGUGUCGACAGAUAUUGGGAGUGUAGCAUGGAGAAUUACAGGGAUAGAGUGAGAGAGAAAGGCAGGGAGCGUGAGUGGUCUAGAGAAAGGGGAAGGGAGAGCGAUAAGGAGAGGAGAAGGGGGAGUGAUAAGGAGAGAGGAAGGGAGAGCGAUAAGGAGAGGGGAAGGGAGAGUGAUAGGGAGAGGGAAAGGAAGAGGGACAGAGAGAGGGAAAGAGAUAAAACUCGAGAUAGGGAAAGGGAGAGGGAUAGAGAACGAGAAUAUGAGAGGGGGAGGGGGAGGGAGAGGGAGAGGGAGAGAGAUAGUUAUAAAGAGAGGGAAGAGAGGGAAAGGAGGAAUAGGGACAGGGAUAGGGAAAGCAGAGGACGAAGUAGGGAGUCAGAUAGAGAUAGAUAUAAUGAUAGGUCCAGCAGACAACGGGAUGAUGGUCUUGAUUAUAAUAGACGUAGUAGACAUUAUGAGACCGACAUUGAGAAUGAAAGGCUAAUUAAUCACAUAAAAACUGAGAACACGAAGCAAAAUGCUGUAGAGACAGACAUUGAGAGAUCUAGAAGAGAUGAAGUUGAACAGGAGGAUUAUGAGGAAAAAGUUGUAUUCCAGCUUGCUGAACAGGAAGAAGAAGAUGAACUUGAUAGAAUUAAGGAGGAGAGCAGAAGGAGAAGGCAAGCUAUUCUUGAAAAAUAUAAGAUUAAGCACACACAGAAAGAACAAGUUACUCAAUCCGGGGACGUUGUUGAGAUUCAUAUGGAUCAGUCUACUCAAAGGCCAGCAGCCGGAGAGAAUGUUGUGCCAGUGUCGGUUGAUGGUAAAAGCAAUGGUGCAGAUGUCCAUGUUGAUGAGACUACAUUUUCUGUUGGGAAAUCACCUCUGCAGGGCAGUCAUAUUGCUGACGAGCAGGCUUCCGGAGCAGGUGGACUGGGACAGGGUACUCCAAAGAGUGAGAGGUCGGCUGACAUGUUUUGUGAUGAUAUAUUUGGAGAAUCGCCUGCUGGCAUCAGGAAGACGGGCAAAGGAGAAGGCGUGGCAGUUGAGCGCAGUGGCCUUCAUGAUAACUGGGAUGAUCCGGAAGGUUAUUAUAGUUAUCGUUUCGGAGAAAUUCUUGAUGGCCAUUAUGAGAUUGUUGCUGCUCAUGGUAAAGGAGUCUUUUCUACUGUUGUUCGGGCUAAAGAUCUCAAGGCUAGACCUGGUGACCCCGAGGAAGUAGCAAUAAAAAUGAUACGCAAUAAUGAAACAAUGUAUAAAGCAGGUAUGGAAGAGUUGGUCAUACUGAAGAAGCUAGUUGGUGCAGAUCCUGAAGACAAGCGUCACUGUGUUCGUUUUAUUUCUAGCUUCAAAUACCGGAAUCAUCUCUGUUUAGUUUUUGAGUCUCUUCAUAUGAACCUCCGUGAGGUUCUGAAGAAGUUUGGACGUAACAUUGGACUCAAACUCACUGCUGUGAGGACGUAUGCGAAGCAACUUUUCAUUGCUUUGAAGCAUUUAAAAAAUUGUGGUGUGCUUCAUUGUGAUAUUAAACCCGACAACAUGUUGGUAAAUGAAGCGAAAAAUGUGCUGAAGCUUUGCGACUUUGGUAAUGCUAUGUUUGCUGGAAAAAACGAAAUUACUCCAUACCUCGUGAGCCGUUUUUACCGUGCCCCAGAGAUCAUUCUUGGCUUGUCGUACGAUCAUCCGAUGGAUAUAUGGUCAGUUGGUUGCUGUUUGUUUGAGCUUUAUGCUGGAAAAGUGUUAUUUCCAGGUCCAACUAAUAAUGACAUGCUUCGUCUUCAUAUGGAAUUGAAAGGUCCAUUUCCAAAAAAGAUGCUUAGAAAGGGUGCAUUUACAGAUCAACAUUUUGACCAAGAUCUCAAUUUUCUUGCCACCGAUGAGGAUCCUGUUACAAAGAAGGCUAUGAGGAAGCUGAUUGUUAACAUCAAGCCAAAAGAUGUCAGUUCAAUAAUUUCAGGUUCUUCAGGUGAAGACCCAAAGAUGUUGGCUCACUUCAAGGAUCUUAUGGAGAGAAUAUUUGUGUUAGAUCCAGAAAAGAGAAUGACAGUUUCCCAGGCAUUGAGCCAUCCAUUCAUCACGGGCAAGUGAACAACAACGAUGAUUUUCUUCUAGGGGCAUGCUGUUGCACUAGACACUAGUGCAUUUUGAUCAUAUAGUUUAUAUUCAGUUCUCUAAUCAUUGGGCUUUAUCUGUUUUUAUCAACUAUCCUGGGUUAAGUGCUUCGGAGCUUGGCAUGGUUGAAGUUGCAGAGAAGAUUGCUGACUGUGGGAGAUCUAAAUCUUGGCAGUUCUUUCAGUGGAAUGUUUUCUGUUCUAUCGAUAUCUACCAGGGCUUUGCUGCAAGAUUCAGUGAUUUAGAUGCUUAAAAGGCACCCUGGAGAAGGUACCUUGGUUUGUUUGUUAGGAAUUACUGUGACACCCUUUAAAUGUUGUGAAUCUUCUUGAUUCAUCUAACAUCAGCCAUAAUUUGUGAAUUUUCUGUGUUAAUUUUAAUUUUCCUUGAGAAGUUCUGAUUUCUGGACUUCAAUUUGGUCUUGCCUGCAAAAUGCAUGCCUGAGGGUGGCUUGUUAAUGAGCCUCCUUAGGAUAGAAUAGUAAAGCUAUCAAGAGCUGGAGUUCUUAUUCUAUUUGGGGUCAUUGUUUUCCGAAAAUAAUUUUGAGUCAUUCUUAUUUCUUCUAUUUCUUAAAUCCUUUUUAUAAAAUCACUUUCUAAUAAGUUGCAUUGCAUCUGAUCCAUGGUAUGGUCAUCCUGGAGCAAUGUAUGACUGGAGUUGAUCAGAUGCCAGCCUUGAAGUGAGAGUUUUCCCAGGUGUGGUUUCAUGCAUCUGCAGUUCUAGUAAGUAUCCUUGACUUUCAUUGUGUCUUUGGUGUGGUAGGUGGGUAUCGUUUGAAAACCUGAUAUUUUUCUAUCGAUGUCUUGCAUUCAACGUUUGUUAAUCAUCCAUGGAAAUGACCUAUAUGGAGGCGGAUUCAAAUUCUUAUCUGGUUCUUCUAAUAAAAUUGGCCAUUGUAGAUCAAAUCUAUCUCAAAUUUCAAUUGUCCCUUUUCUGGACACUUCACGUGCAGAUGUAGCUCCUCUAAGCAAGUGCAAUUAGAGACUGUGAUUCGUUUAGGUUUUGAUCGGCAAGAAUGAAGUAUCAGUCUAAGCUACAACAUGUCUUUGUUGAAGCACCAGGAAAUGGUCUGCCUUCAAUUGUUCUUGAAGCCAACUGAUUGGAACCUUCUACCUUGGAUGAAAAGAUUUGGAGGGAAAUUCAUUGGAAUGUGUGGGAGUGUUACUGCAUGGUGCUCUCCACUUGCCAUGCCUUUGAAUCAUGCGGGUUUAAUAGUCCGAGCAACUUAGAGUCUCCUAAUGGUCAAUGACAGUGUGGAGGCAAAGAACGCUAAGUGAUUUCUUCCCAUUUCCUAAUCCUCGUGGUAGAACUACUCGAUAUCUAUGUUGUUAGGAGGUAGUAUCUGGUAGACUAGUUGAGGUACACACGAGUUUGCCUGGACACUACUGUCAUUAAAAAGAAGUGUUACAGUGCCCUCCCUGGUAUACUCGGUUAAUAAGCCCUUACAGUGAACUAAGAACCAAAAUAAGCCACCUCUUUAAUAAAUAACCAAAAUAGGCUAAGCGUAGCAAAUUAUUACGUUUUACCCAUUUUUUUUAACGGUGCUUUAACAGAGAUCUACAGUAAAUAACUUUUUGUAAAACGUAAGAAAUUCUUACGUUUAUUUGUAAAACGUAAGAAUUUAUUACGUUUGACACAACCCCCCCCAAAAAAAAGUGUGUUGUUAAAUCAACAAACUUUAGUCAAAUCGUGUAAAUUGUAAUAAAAAGUUACAACUUAUAUAAACUGUAACUUUUUAUUACAAUUUAUAUAAAUAGACCUACCAAGCGGAUGAAAAAAUUUAUUGUGUGUAGAUAGUUUGAAUGAAAAAAUUUACUGUACAUUGGCACACUCACAAGAACCAUAGGAUUAAAUUGUGAUUUUAUAUGCUUACCUCACCGACAACAUAAAUCAAUUUUACAGUAUUAAUACAAUUUAACUUUUUAUAUUUUAUUAUUACUCUAUUUUUUAAUAUUAUAUUAUUGAAUUUGUUAUGAAAUGUAACAUAUUUUUGUAGCUCAAUCUAACCUGAUGGUACAGGACCUCAAAACACUUAAAAGUGGUAUAAAAUUGUUUAGGAGGUAUGACACUUUAUUUAGAUUUACAUUAUAUAUACACGAAUAAGGUAAAUAAUUUUACACUAUCAACAUCUAAGAGAAAGAAAUGUAAGGCGAUGGGGACUGGUUGGUUGGUGAAACUAUUUAUAUAACUUGUAACUAAGAAAUGUAAGGCGAUGGGGACUGGUUGGUUGGUGAAACUAUUUAUAUAACUUGUAACUUUUUAUUACAAUUUACACGAUUUGACAAGUUGAGAUAAAACUGUUGAUUUGACAAUGCACUUUUUUUUUAAUUUUAUUUUUGUGUUUCUUACAUUUUACAAAAAGUUCAUUUUAAUUAUAAAUCUCCGUUAAAGCACCGUUACAAAAAAGGGUCAAACGUAAUAAAUUAUGUUUAGCCUAUUUUGGUAACUUAUUAAAGAGGUGGCUUAUUUUGGUCACUUUGUGGGUGUUUGGAAGAUAUUAUAAUCUAGUCAAAAUAGAUUAUAAGUUGCUUUUUGCUUAAAAAUGUGUGUGGCAAUUUUUCUAAUUGCUUAAAAAAAGUUAUUUUUGGUUUUUUUUAAGCCAAAAACAAGAAUCACAAAAUCCUAACUUGUUUUUUUUGGAACUUAUAAUCUAUUUAAGUUGACCAAAUAACUUACCUUUGUAUCCCUUGUAAUUAUUACUUAUUCCAAUUUUACCCUUUAGUCCUAAUUCUCCUUCACUACUCCUUUCUACUUAGUUACUACCAGCUUAGGUGAUGAUAUGCAGCCUGCAAGAAUAACAACUAUUAUACCUCAAUCCAAAUACUUAAGACACGCAUGUUUGAUUUCACUGGAUCAUUAGUCUUCUCAGACAACUUCCCUCCAUAGGGUUUUGAGGUUUACCUCGCUUUUUUUCUUAUAACCUUGAACCCCAAUAGCAUUGCACCUAUGAACCAGAGCAUAUGGAGGUCUACGUAACACAUAAACAAACCAUCUCAAGUGGCUUCUAUUCUUUACGUGUGCAACUUACACCCUCAAAGGUUAAAAGCAACAAUUCUAGUUUAAUAAGAAAAUGGAAGUGUCGUAAAUUGCACCUUAAUGAUACAAAAUCUUAACGUAACCAUGAAGAAACAAAUAAUCUUUUAAUAUAUAACUAUUUUUUUCAAACACAAACAUUCAACUCUUAAACUCUUAGAAAAUUUUUUUUUUAGUGCAUAGUCAUUCAUGAAAAUAUAUUUUUUUAAUAUAUAUAUAUAUUAAUUUAAAUUUGAAUCAGUUUAGCAAUAAAAAUUAAUAAUAAUCAACUCUAUAUAUUAUUAACAACUAUAAGGGUAUUUUAGUCAUUUUGACCAAAAAAAGUGCUUAAAAGCUUUAUUUACCAAACUCAUCAAUAAUUUUUUUUCAGUUUCAGCACUUUUAUCCAAACACUUAACUGCUUAUUUUUAAAAUAAGUUCAACACUUUCAAAAGCACUUUUAAAGAACUUUUUUUUCAGCCGCUUUUUUUUCAGCCUAUCCAAACGGGCUCUUUGUUCAUAUCUUGGCUUUUUUUGGUUUCGAGUUCUUGCAAAGUAGUCUUAACUACUCAUUGCCUUAAGUUUUUGGUUAAAUCCUUCUAUAUUAUUGAUUGUCUGGGGUUUGUAGAGCGGUUACUGAUGUCUUGGAUUGCUCCUUUCGUAACUUGAAAUAUAUUUAGUUGGGUAUUUAGAUUCUUUCACAUGGUCUCGUUUCUACAGUUGGUAUUACUCUAUUGUUCGUUUGGUUUGCAUUUCUCUCUUGUUCAAUUCCGUGCAUUGAGCCAUUAAUUUGUUUCAAAAUUAUCUUGUAGUUUGUUAAAUCUGCACAUUCUCUGCCCCUGACCCACUUUCAGUUUUUUGACUCUACUCUCCCUCAACUUUUAGUCCAUUCUUGUAUGGUGUCUCUCCUUAGGUUCAUCUCUAGUUCCAUGAAAUACAACAGAAGAGUAAUGAAAACAGUAAGAGACACUAGAACUGGGCUACUCGUGCGGAAGGUUGUUUCAAAAGAAAUUCUUGUCCCUUAUUGGUUGUGUAAGAAUUUCCAAAUGAGUCUAUAAUGUUAUAGGUAACUAUGAAUAUCCAUAGUCUGUCGUAAUGCUUUGGUUGGAUGCUCAUAUUAUUUCACAUGGUGUGAUAACCGAACUUUUGAAAGUUCAUUUUUACUACUGCUAUUAUAUUGUAUUCAUUCGCUUUUGGCCCUUCUCUUUUAAUUUGUCUCAUUGAGAUUUUUCUCCCCGUUAAAUUCAUUUGUCAAAAUAAAGCAAUAUAAUUAAACAAAGUUCUACCAAAGCCCAUGUAAACCCCAGAAUUACACGUGUAGAAGGGCGUUGAGUGGUACACUUCCUUUAUUGGUUGUGUAAGGGUAAUCAAAGGGUGUUUAUAGCACUCUGGCCGCUCCACCCAUAUGUUCAAGAUUUUGGUUUGAACGCUCAAAUUCUUUUACAAAAAUAAUACAACAACAAAUGCAGUGUAUUCCCACAUAGUGCGGUCAGGGGAGGGUAAAAUGUAAGGAGUCCAUACCACUUCCUCCGAAUAAGUAGAGAGGGUGUUUCCAAUAGACCCCCGGCUCAAGACAAAGGACAGUAAACAAAGUCGUAAUAAAACAUGAAACAAGAUGGAAUAACAGAACUAAGACACCCACAAGGUAUUCUACACACUAACACUAACAAAUCACACCCAAACCCUCCUAACUAGAAGCUCUAACCUAUGUACACAAUCCUAAGACUACUAACCCGGCUACACCAAAGCACUCCUAUCUACUGGCUACAACUCAUUCACGCACACUAGCCCUCUAGCCUAAUUCGCGUCCUCCAUACCUGUGUAGGGUCAUGUCCUCAGGAAGUUGUAACUGUUCCAUGUCACGUCAAUUCAAUGCUCUUAUGGCCUACCUACCUCUUUAAUGGCGAGUCAAUUGUGUGACUUAUCUGACUAUUGAAGCAAUGAUGCUUGAUUGGAUCUUCAUUUUGAGUUAUAAUACAUUCUUCACUUUACUACUCGAACAAUGUGUUGUGGAUCUUUCAAAAAAAGAUGUCAUUUGUGGUCUAACACCUUAGGUUUUGUGAUUGAAGGAAGGCACUAGUUAGGAACUUAUCAAUAUAAUGCAAUUGAAAAUUAUAAACACUGCCAAUAAUUAGUUGGUAAAAUGGUUUGAGAAAGCUUUUAUUGUGCGAGAUGAAAUAAAACUGUCAAUCAAAAAUUUCUAGUUUCGUAUUCCUAAUCACAAAAUUUUUUAUUCAUAACGUCCUUAAGAAUGAAGAUUAUUUUAAAAACUAAAUUUUGUUGUAUUGAUGCUCAUUAAAGAGAGAGUCCACGAGCGAUGGGACACAUGCCUGUACUUAAGUGCUACCAAAGGGUGAAGUGCUGCUUAGGUUUUGAGUAGAUUAGGGCAAGACAUGCUUCAAGCAAUGCGAAGGUACUCUUCCCUGUGUAUAUUCUCUCGCUUAAAUGAUGAAACUAUGUAAUGCUUAGUUGAAUCUUAGUUUUGAUUAGAUUCUUAAAUGAUGGCACUUUGUAAAGGCUUGAGUUAGAUCGUAGUUUUGAUUGGAUUUUUCUAUGUUUGCACAUUAUUAAUUGUAGGGGGUGGGCAUUAGGUCCGUUUCCGUUUUGGAAAACCCAGUUCAGUUUUUCUGUUUUUGUUUGAUAAAAGUGAAAACCGAAAAUUAUUUUGGUUUGGUUUUCUCAAUUUGGGCUUUUUCAUGUUGCGAAUUUUGAACGGGUGAUAAUUGCGUUUUGUUUUCAUGUAAAAUAUUCAGAAUUCUUGGAAACCCGCGUAUAUUAAUCGGUUGACAUUACCAAUCACUUUUUAUUGAAUAAUAAGUGACAUUACCCAUCAUUACUUUGGAUAUGUAAGAAGCACCAGAGGGCCAAUUUUGCCCUUGAUCUAUGUUGAAAUGGUCCAACUUUUCUCUCCUUUAAAAGUUGGGGGUCAUCCAUGUCCUCGCCAUCUAAGUUUCUUGGACUUUUCAAAAAUGUUGCAUCACCCGUGUUAGAUCCUCCAAAAAUGCACUACUUUUGAAGGAUCCGACAUGCCCCUGAUGACAUUUUUUUUGAGUAUGAGCAACAUAGCUUGCUGUUACAAUUGGGGCUCGAAAGCUGAACUUCUAACCAUAAGGACAAAUUUGGAUCUUUCCUUUAUUAUAUACUAAUAAUUAGGCUCUAUUAACUGGAGUAGCACAAAAACUUGCCACAUUGCUAUUGUCAAAAAAAUUGAGCUUCACAGCAACCCAAAAGAAUUUGUAUUGUGAAGUAAUUCUAUAAAAAUAUAUUUGAAUGGAAGUUUGCUGCCUUUGCAGUUUUGUCUAUUCGGCUUUGUUCUAUUCACUCAUGCCUUGAAAUAUACUUCAGCUGCAUUUACUGUCUGUCUUGACUUCUCUGUCUGCUGUUCUUGUGAUUGUGGGACCUUAGUGCAACACUGCUCUUCGUAUUUGUGAUGUCCAAGGAUUUAUUUAAAUUGUUUGUUGCUCAAUCACUCUGACCAUUCUUUCCUAGCUUCUUGAUGGUCACUUCAGAGUAUCUGUAUUACUUAGUGGCAUUAUGUUUUCUGGUUAUGGUUGUUAGUAGUAUAGGGUUGAGUGUUUGUCGACUUUUUCAUAGAUUGUUAAAUUAUCAUAUCAUUUGCCUUGAUUACUUGCAAAACUGCGGAUCCGGUUCAGAUGCUAGUAAUGAACUUAUUGCUUCAUGAUUUUAGCUUGUUGCAACUUCACUUGAAGUUGGGGAAAGUUCUCUCUUAAUGGUUACUUAAAUCAGUGCUACAAUUGUGUGCUGCACUAAUGAUGAAAAAUACCUGCCUUUCACUUGGAUGUGCUGUUUAACUCGAUAUUUUAGCACAUCACAUUUGUCAGGAUUCUGUAGCGUUAGUAGUGUGCGGUUCAGUUCGUGAGUCUCUAUUUGGGCAGGUCCAUUAUUGAUGUUCGCACUUAUUCUAUGAAAAAUAUGAGUAUCAGUUCAUAUUUCUCUUAGCUUCGAGUUAUUAUUGAAGAAGCUUUUGAGAUCUUUUGCUGCCUUGUAAAUAAAUUGCCAACUUUAACGGUCUGCAAGUAUUAAAUUAAAAGAAAUAUGUAUAUAAAUACAUAAUAUAAGCACCUACUAAUACAUGUGUAAUUAGUAAAUAUGGGUGUGAUUAGGGAGUAUUUAACCAUAUUCACAAGCACGAGGACAAUGCAGUGGGAGUUUUUCUAUAACUCAUAUUAAAUAAGUAUUUCGUUUUGUUCAAGUUUUGGUGAUUUAAGUGGUCUAAUACUGAUCUGUAUCGACAUUGUACUGUACUUGUUGACGAUUCACAAUUCCGUAAUACUAUAUUGUUGUUUCUCACAAUUGA
This is an RNA transcript of Capsicum annuum, 10622 nucleotides long. It is a transcript of the gene named serine/threonine-protein kinase prpf4B, with no coding region annotated. The record is from RefSeq and is a predicted model, not a curated record. Lineage: Eukaryota; Viridiplantae; Streptophyta; Magnoliopsida; Solanales; Solanaceae. The transcript is spliced from 14 exons.